GUGUACGGGGGAACGCUGCAGUUUUACUGCAGAGGAAAGUCCGGGCAGGCACGGUCUGAGAUGAUCGUAGUGUUUGUGCGCAGCCCAAUAAGCUGCGGCAGGAACUAAGUUUCCUGACGGCGGUCAAAUUGGCUCUCGUAGUCAAAAGUAGCCUGAAAGUGCCACAGAAACUAUCCGUUCCGGCGACGGAGCGAUGCAAGGGUAAACCCCACAAGCCUGAAACUCAAAUUUUGGUAGAGGAAUCCUAGAACGGGAAUUCAACCAGACUAGGACGCAUGUAUUAUGCGAGAUAGAUGUUCCCUAGAACAAAACCCGGCUUACGGUA
Molecule: RNase P RNA, 325 nt
Filed under: Veillonellaceae bacterium
Lineage: Bacteria; Bacillati; Bacillota; Negativicutes; Veillonellales; Veillonellaceae
Also listed under: 1 other name
Description: RNase P RNA component class B
Rfam family: Bacterial RNase P class B
About the family: Ribonuclease P (RNase P) is a ubiquitous endoribonuclease, found in archaea, bacteria and eukarya as well as chloroplasts and mitochondria. Its best characterised activity is the generation of mature 5'-ends of tRNAs by cleaving the 5'-leader elements of precursor-tRNAs.
Source: RNAcentral